UACGUAGGGGGCUAGCGUUGUCCGGAAUCAUUGGGCGUAAAGCGCGUGUAGGCGGUCCGGUAAGUCCGCUGUGAAAGUCGGGGGCUCAACCCUCGGAUGCCGGUGGAUACUGUCGGGCUUGAGUGCGGAAGAGGCGAGUGGAAUUCCUGGUGUAGCGGUGAAAUGCGCAGAUAUCAGGAGGAACACCAAUUGCGAAGGCAGCUCGCUGGGACGUUACUGACGCUGAGACGCGAAAGCGUGGGGAGCAAACAGG
This 253-nucleotide ribosomal RNA is filed under the name uncultured bacterium. RNAcentral describes it as "partial 16S ribosomal RNA". It matches the Rfam family "Bacterial small subunit ribosomal RNA", at positions 524 to 776 of the family's 1533-position model. The record is from RNAcentral.